AGACGCGUGGCCACAGCCGGCCGGUCAGUGUUCGCAGGCUCCGACCCGGCGGCCAACACCAGUCAGACAAGGGCAGCAUGUGUGAAGACUGCGGGCCAGACCCGUCACCAACCUCUGAGGAAAUGACAGACUCAAUGGCUGGGCACCUGCCAUCGGAGGAUUCUGAUUGUGGGAUGGAGAUGCUGACAGACAGUCAAGGUGACGUGAUCCGGCCCCUGUGGAAGCAGGUGGAGCUGCUCUUCAACACAAGAUACGGUCAGACAAGGGCGGCAUGUCUGAAGACUGUGGGCCAGGAACCUCCGGGGAGCUGGGUUGGCUGAAGCCAAUCAAAAUUGAGCCAGAGGAUCUGGACAUCAUUGCGGUCACUGUCCCAAGUAAGCGACGGACAUCUGACCACCCCCUGCAGAAAUGAGGACCGUAACAUAAGCCUCCUGAGGGUCUGCCCUGGUGAAGAAGAGGCCUCCAGGCCACUGUUUCUCUCCAUGGAUUCUGAGGCCCACCUGGGUAUUGUGAAUUCUUUCUCUGGCCACAUCUGCCCCCUGCAUUGUGAACCAGUGUUCUUAGCUCUGACGUUCCAGAAGAUCCCCUCAAACAUCACCUCCCUGGCUUGGCUUCCCUGGGAUUUGUGAGGCUGGAGAGAAGAAAAAGGCAUAAGCCUGAGAGGCUCCAAGUUGGACCCUACCCCCUGCCAAGCCUCAUUUUCCACAUCUUCAGAGGAGAGGGUAGAUUUGGGCACUGGAGCCUCAGUAUGGGGUGACUGUCAGAAGCCAAGAGGGUGCCGGACGCAGUGGCUCAUACUUGUAAUCCCGGCAUUUUGGGUGGCUGACAUGGGAGGAUUGCUUGAGGCCAGGAGUUCAAGACCAGACUGGGCAACAUAAAAAGACCCCCCAUCUCUACAAAAAAUACAAAACAUUAGCCAAAUGUGGUGGUGUGUGACUGUCAGUGCAGCUUCUCAGGAGGCUGAGGCAGGAGAAUCACUUGAGCCCAAGAGUUGGAGGCUGCAGUGAGCUGUGAUCACACCACUGCACUGCAGCCUGGGCAACCAGAGGAAGACCCUGUCUCAAAAAAAAGAAAUGGCCAGGUGCAGUGGCUCACGCCUAUAAUCCCAGCACUUUCGGAGGCUGAGGCGGGCGGAUCACCUGAGGUCAAGAGUUCGAGACCAGCCUGGCCAACAUGGUGAAACCCCAUCUCUACUAAAAAUACAAAAAUUAGCCAGGUAUGAUGGCUCAUGCCUGUAAUCCCAGCUACUCAGGAGGCUGAGGCAGGAGAAUCGCUUGAACCUGGGAGGCGGAGGUUACAGUGAACCGAGGUGGCACCACUGCACUCCAGCCUGGGCGACAGAGUGAGACUCCAUCUCGAACAAAAAUAAAAAAAGAGAAAGAAAA
This is a long non-coding RNA of Homo sapiens (human), 1385 nucleotides long. Ensembl annotates it as GTF2I repeat domain containing 1 pseudogene 1. Its record names the gene GTF2IRD1P1. Lineage: Eukaryota; Metazoa; Chordata; Mammalia; Primates; Hominidae. The record is from Ensembl.